GGGUGGGGUUCUAGUUCACUCUCAAUGAAGAAGAAAGUGACACAAUCAUGUUAGUUGGCUGAACCAACUCUUCCUGUCCCCUUUUCAGCCCUUUCCAGGGCCCCUCCCCCAGGAAGUAUCUUACCCACCUGUGACUUGGCACCUGUCAGGGGACCAGCUGGCCAAGGUCAUGCUUCAGUGAAGCCUCCCAGCUCAGUCCCUGACUUAGACACUGGAGCCAACAUUGGCCCAUCUGACUACACUCACAGCCAAGCAAAUGAAAGCCUGGCCCUUGCAGCCCUGAAUCGGACACCUUCCUGUUGUCAAAGCAGAUGGAGUCCAUGGAAGCCUUAGCAGGUGCUGACAGGCAGCCCAGAAGCCAGCCCAUGGAGAGGAUCCAGGUUGCCUGAUCACAAGACCACACGAAUCCUGGCUCCCAGGACAUCCCAGCCCCGCCCUCUGAACUGAAGAUGCAAGCAGAGCGUUGGCACAGCAGCCGUAUUCUCCACACCCCUGAUCCUGGUGCUGGAUGUGGCAGGUACCUACCAGCACACUGCUGACAGCCAGAGCUGGACCCCUUCCGGCCCUGGGACAGCUGUGUCACCCAAGGAAGUCUUCAACCCAGCCUCACAUCAUGUCUUGGAGUCAGGAAAUGUGUGGCGCCAAGUCAGCUUGGCUCAGCUGGAACCACGGUUCUCAGAUUUCCCUUUUCUGUGUGCUUCCAAGUGCAGGGCAAUGCAGUGCUAAGUCACUUCAGUCCUGUCCAACUCUUUGCAACCCUAUGGACUGUAGUCCACAAGGUCCCUCUGUCCAUGGGAUUCUGCAGGCAAGAAUACUGGAGGGGGCGGCUGUGCCCUCCUCCAGGGGAUCUUCUAACCUGUGUCUUCUGAGGCUCCUGCAUUGUAGGCAGAUUCUUUACCACUGAGCCGCCAGGGGAAGCUGGCUUCCAAGUUGAGGGUGACAUGAGAUGCAUGAGAUUUGGGAGGCAGAAAGACUCCAGGCAGUCUUGCCAUUCACACACAACCGUCUCUCAUUGGCUGACGUGGGGGAGCACCUGGCUUACCUCUUCCAGCUCCUCCUGGCUCUCUUCCUUCCAUUUUUCUUUGUCUUGGGCCAGGCAUGUGUUCAGCUUGGCAACAAAGGAUGCCAGCUUCUCCCCCACAUCACCUGUGUCAUCGAGACUGGAGGCCACAAGAAACAGACACAAUCAACAGUGUGCUGCUACGUGUCGGACAACCUUCUCUCCAGGUGGAUUUUGUACCAUUGUGCCACCUGGAAAUCCUGGCUUUUUACUACUGCCAUUGAAAAUGCUUUCUACAUCCUUAAAUAUAUCUAUGAAGCAGCCGGCUUACAGACAACUCAGACUCAUCUUUUCCUACUGCAUUAAACUAAACAAAUCUUGAAAUACCAAGAUUGUUCUGGCCUCAGGGCCUUUUUACUUGCUAUUCUUCCUACCUAGAACUCUGCUCCCCGUAUGAAGGAGUCUUCAUUAAUAAGACUUCUUCACUGCAUUCAAAUUAUUUGAGUAUCACUACUCAAAGUUCCAGCAUCACUGCUGCACUCUUUGAGUAUCUGCACACAAUCAUUCUGUACCCACUCGCCAGGACAAUCUUAUUGGUUUAUUGUUUUCUGUCUUUCCCGUUAGAAUAUAACCACAUCAGGUUAUGGGGAGGGAGGUGGGAGGGGGGUUCAUGUUUGGGAACACAUGUAAGAAUUAAAGAUUUUAAAAUUUAAAAAAAAAAAUAAAUAAAAUAAAAUAAAAUUUAAAAAGAAAAUGAAUUUAUGGUUACCAAAGGGGAAGGGGAGGGAUAAACUAGGAGACUGGGAUUAAUAUUGUAUGUCAAGUAGAUAAACAACAACGACCUUCUGUAUAGGAUAGGAACAAUAUUCAAUAUUUUGUAAUAAGGGGAAAGAAUCUGCAAAAGUAUAUAUGUAUAUAUAUUUGUGUGUGUAUCACUCUGCUGUACACCUGAAACUAAUGCAACAAUGUAAAUCAACUACAGUUCAAUUAAAAACGAGACUGUGUUACUCUGUUUAAAAUUCAAAAAAAAAAA
Capra hircus (goat) is the source of this 2033-nucleotide long non-coding RNA. The record is from Ensembl. Lineage: Eukaryota; Metazoa; Chordata; Mammalia; Artiodactyla; Bovidae.